Molecule: ribosomal RNA, 468 nt
Filed under: uncultured bacterium
Lineage: Bacteria
Description: partial 16S ribosomal RNA
Rfam family: Bacterial small subunit ribosomal RNA
Source: RNAcentral
GACGAACGCUGGCGGCGCGCCUAACACAUGCAAGUCGAACGGAGUCAAGAGGAGCUUGCUUUUCUUUACUUAGUGGCGAACGGGUGAGUAACGCGUGAGUAACCUGCCCUGGAGUGGGGGACAACAGGGGGAAACGACUGCUAAUACCGCAUAAGCCCACGGUGCCGGAUGGGGCUGGGGGAAAAUGGUUGAUUCGGGUCAGGAUGGACUCGCGUCCAAUUGUCUGGUUGGUGAUGUAACGGCCCACCAAUGCGACGAAUGGUAGCCGGACGGGGGGGCUGAACGGCCACAUUGGGACUGAGACACGGCCCAGACUCCUACGGGAGGCAGGAGUGGGGGAUAUUGCACAAUGGGGGAAAACCUGAUGCAGCGACGCCGCGUGGAGGAAGAAGGUUGUCGGAUUGUAAACUCCUGUCGUAAGAGACGAUAAUGACGGUACCUAACAAGAAAGCACCGGCUAACUACGUG